UUAACGUUUGGUGAGUGUGCGUUUCUUUUUUGCUGCAGCAGUAUUUAUUGCUUUCUGCUUGGUUGUUUUAGUGGAUAUAUUAUUUUAGUCUUUUUUAUGUCUUGUGUUAGCGUGUUUUAAUAAGUUUUUCCUGAUUUUGCUAGCUGUUAGUUAUCCCUUUAGUUACUCGUUUGAUUUAGUUUCUGAAUAUUUCUUUGCAUUAAUUUCAUGUAGGACUUUCGUCUUGAGUUGCAGGAUACACGGGUCUGUCUUGGCAGGUCUGUCUAUUGCCUCUAGGGAGGUAAAAUGGACUGCUAUUAAAUUAAGUACUUGGAGGUGAUCCAUGUGCUGUGCCUGUAUACAGAACAAGGUUUACCCAUUGGAUGUUGGAUUCGCAAUGAGUGAGGGCUCCUAUGAAGCAUCUGGCCGGUUGAAGUUGGCUGAAUGUGAUGGAGCCGAUCUUUUGCUUAGCAUCAGAACAAAUCUGUGCAGUUGGCUAUAAUGUCUUUGGAUGGCCUUAUUCAGGGUUGGCUUUUGGUUGAUGAAUGGAGUCUGCUCAUUGACAGGUGAAGGAGUCAAAAUGCUGUGCCCUGUUAAGGAAGGCCAUGACCUUGCCAGGAUGAGUUGCAGUUUCUUCGAUUAAGGUGAUGGAAUCCUGAUUAUCCUGAGUAUGAUCAGGACCUGAAGAUGACCAGUACCUAUUGAAGUGGCCCUUAAUUGUCAUUUAUAUAAUGUCUGGAAAUAAACAUUUUAAAUUGA
Clarias gariepinus (North African catfish) is the source of this 738-nucleotide long non-coding RNA. RefSeq lists it as uncharacterized. The transcript is spliced from 12 exons. Lineage: Eukaryota; Metazoa; Chordata; Actinopteri; Siluriformes; Clariidae. The record is from RefSeq and is a predicted model, not a curated record.